RNAcentral lists this ribosomal RNA (253 nucleotides) under uncultured bacterium. RNAcentral's name for it is "partial 16S ribosomal RNA". It matches the Rfam family "Bacterial small subunit ribosomal RNA", at positions 524 to 776 of the family's 1533-position model. The record is from RNAcentral.
UACGUAAAAUGCAAGCGUUAAUCGGAAUUACUAAACGUAAAGCGUGCGCAGACAGUUCUAUAAGACAGAUGUGAAAUCCCCAGGCUCAACCUAGGAACUGCGAUGGAGACUGCAAGGCUAGAAUCUGGCAGAGGGGGGUAGAAUUCCACGUGUAGCAGUGAAAUGCGUAGAGAUGUGGAGGAACACCGAUGGCGAAGGCAGCCCCCUGGGUCAAGAUUGACGCUCAUGCACGAAAGCGUGGGGAGCAAACAGG